Molecule: long non-coding RNA, 1151 nt
Organism: Calidris pugnax (ruff)
Lineage: Eukaryota; Metazoa; Chordata; Aves; Charadriiformes; Scolopacidae
Exons: 2
Source: RefSeq, a predicted model, not a curated record
GACAGUUGACCAACACCAACAGAAGUGUUGCCAUAAGCCUUUUUGCUGGGAGACAUUGGGUGGACAGGGGAGAGGCACCCGAAGGCAACAGCUCUAAGGCAGCGGAGUGGGACCAACUGGGUGAGGGCAUCUCGGUGGACGUGGAGAUCCAAGCAUCCUUAGCGGACGUGCUCUGUUUGCGUUAGCCCAGAGAGGGGGGUUGUCCAUGCACCCACCCUCCCAAAGCAGAGGGUGAGCUGUGAGUCCUGCUGCUGACGAUCAGCCCAGCACCCAGGAGGGGCAGUGAGGGAGGAUCUUGCAAAUCCCCAAAAACAGGCAGCAGAAGGGAAGGGUGAGAGGGGCAGAACGAGUCCCGCCAUCCAAACAACUCCCUCUGAGCUUCACUCUUCCUGCAGAACUCAUAGAGGCCUGCUCGGUGCUGGCAGGCCUGCUCGGCGUGGGGGCAAUGCUCUGUGGGACCCUGUUGGUCCUGUACCUGUGGACGAGGUGUGGAAGACCGGCUCGACGCUCCCCAGACAAACCCCUUAGAGUGAAGACAGAGGACAGCGGGAUGUCAUCCGAGGCUUAAGCGGUCAUGUUCCUGGUGUCCAAGGCAAGGCUCCCUCAGGACCCCAGAAGACUUCAUUGGAGCCAGAAGAGCAGAGCCGUGGCUGCAAUGGUCAGCAGAGAGAAUCCCCUCUGGUCUCUGUGCCCCAUAGCCCCCAGCUCACCGCGCUGAGCCUCUGCGGGUCCCAGUUCCUCCAAGCAGAGCUGAAGUCCCUCAGUCUCCAAGCAAGGCCUUCUCAGAAUAACCCAUAUCUGGUCCUCUGGGUAGGCUCCAGAAUCCUAACUCCAGACUCCUCUUGUUCCCAGCCCCAUAGCCCCCUGUGAUUCCUGUAGCCCCCUGCAGUGGCAUCGAGUGCCAUCACCCUCACCACAUUCCCACCUUUUCCCCUAAUCUCCCAUGACCGCUUCUGGUCCCCAUGGAAGUGAGGAUUGCUGCCUGAUCCAGGAGCAAGGGAGCAGGGUGCUCUCCUGCACUGUGCAAAAAAACCACCUUUGUAAAACGAGGACUGUGCUUAAACACCCAUCCAGAACGGGGUGAAAAGUCCCUCACCCACUGUAUUUAUUCAAUCCACUUUCAAAUACCAGUAAAACCCUUAAACCUGAAA